RNAcentral lists this long non-coding RNA (313 nucleotides) under Vigna radiata. RNAcentral's name for it is "long non-coding RNA (VRAD_LNC014617)". The record is from RNAcentral. Lineage: Eukaryota; Viridiplantae; Streptophyta; Magnoliopsida; Fabales; Fabaceae.
CAGGCGUGAUCUGAAGGGUGAUCGGAACAGUAAAUGGGUUAGAAUUUUAGAGAGAAGGUAGGGAGGUUUUAGAGAGAAGGAGGAGAGUUUGAGAUUUUCAGAAGGUUGAGUUUGAGGAAGAAGAAGAAGAUUGCAUGCAAAAGUGGCGUCAGAUCUCAUUCCCACCUUAUAUACUACCUCCAGUCCGAACGGUCGGCCAACUCCAACGUGACACCUGACUUCCACUCCCUGGGGUUUCUCUGCUAUGCUGAUACUGCACGGAUCACGAGGGAAGGGAAUUAAAAGUUUGACAGAGUUUGUCUCCCACUCACCA